This 253-nucleotide ribosomal RNA is filed under the name uncultured bacterium. RNAcentral describes it as "partial 16S ribosomal RNA". It matches the Rfam family "Bacterial small subunit ribosomal RNA", at positions 524 to 776 of the family's 1533-position model. The record is from RNAcentral.
UACGGGGGGGGCAAGCGUUGUUCGGAAUUACUGGGCGUAAAGGGCUCGUAGGGGGCCAACUAAGUCAGACGUGAAAUCCCUCGGCUUAACCGGGGAACUGCGUCUGAUACUGGAUGGCUUGAGAUUGGGAGAGGGAUGCGGAAUUCCAGGUGUAGCGGUGAAAUGCGUAGAUAUCUGGAGGAACACCGGUGGCGAAGGCGGCAUCCUGGACCAACACUGACGCUGAGGAGCGAAAGCCAGGGGAGCAAACGGG